This 347-nucleotide ribosomal RNA is filed under the name Sinorhizobium sp. GL28. RNAcentral's name for it is "bacterial SSU rRNA". It matches the Rfam family "Bacterial small subunit ribosomal RNA", at positions 1 to 334 of the family's 1533-position model. The record is from RNAcentral. Lineage: Bacteria; Pseudomonadati; Pseudomonadota; Alphaproteobacteria; Hyphomicrobiales; Rhizobiaceae.
UUUUUACAAUGGAGAGUUUGAUCCUGGCUCAGGAUGAACGCUAGCUACAGGCUUAACACAUGCAAGUCGAGGGGCAGCAUUAUCGAAGCUUGCUUUGAUAGAUGGCGACCGGCGCACGGGUGAGUAACGCGUAUCCAACCUUCCCCAUAGUCAGGAAUAGCCCGGCGAAAGUCGAAUUAAUGCCUGAUGUUUUCCACGGACGGCAUCAGAUGUGGAACAAAGAUUUAUCGCUAUGGGAUGGGGAUGCGUCUGAUUAGCUUGUUGGCGGGGUAACGGCCCACCAAGGCGACGAUCAGUAGCCGGACUGAGAGGUUGAACGGCCACAUUGGGACUGAGAUACGGCCCAG